CCCUGCCAUUUGUACACACCGCCCGUCGCUACUACCGAUUGAAUGGCUAAGUGAGGCUUUCGGACUGCCUUAGGGAGGGUGGCAACACCCACCCAGAGGCGGAAAGUUAUCCAAACUUGGUCAUUUAG
Molecule: ribosomal RNA, 128 nt
Filed under: uncultured eukaryote
Lineage: Eukaryota
Description: partial small subunit ribosomal RNA
Rfam family: Eukaryotic small subunit ribosomal RNA
Source: RNAcentral